Molecule: ribosomal RNA, 916 nt
Filed under: uncultured bacterium
Lineage: Bacteria
Description: bacterial SSU rRNA
Rfam family: Bacterial small subunit ribosomal RNA
Source: RNAcentral
AGUUUGAUCCUGGCUCAGGAUGAACGCUAGCUACAGGCUUAACACAUGCAAGUCGAGGGGCAGCAUGUCGGUUGCUUGCAACCGAUGAUGGCGACCGGCGCACGGGUGAGUAACGCGUAUCCAACCUACCCUUGUCCAUCGGAUAACCCGUCGAAAGGCGGCCUAACACGAUAUGCGGUUCACCGCAGGCAUCUAACGUGAACGAAAUGUGAAGGAGAAGGAUGGGGAUGCGUCUGAUUAGCUUGUUGGCGGGGUAACGGCCCACCAAGGCUACGAUCAGUAGGGGUUCUGAGAGGAAGGUCCCCCACAUUGGAACUGAGACACGGUCCAAACUCCUACGGGAGGCAGCAGUGAGGAAUAUUGGUCAAUGGACGAGAGUCUGAACCAGCCAAGUAGCGUGCAGGAUGACGGCCCUAUGGGUUGUAAACUGCUUUUAUAGGGGGAUAAAGUGUGUCACGUGUGGCAUAUUGCAGGUACCCUAUGAAUAAGGACCGGCUAAUUCCGUGCCAGCAGCCGCGGUAAUACGGAAGGUCCGGGCGUUAUCCGGAUUUAUUGGGUUUAAAGGGAGCGUAGGCCGUUUGGUAAGCGUGUUGUGAAAUGUCGGGGCUCAACCUGGGCAUUGCAGCGCGAACUGCCAGACUUGAGUGCGCAGGAAGUAGGCGGAAUUCGUCGUGUAGCGGUGAAAUGCUUAGAUAUGACGAAGAACUCCGAUUGCGAAGGCAGCCUGCUGUAGCGCAACUGACGCUGAAGCUCGAAAGCGUGGGUAUCGAACAGGAUUAGAUACCCUGGUAGUCCGCACGGUAAACGAUGGAUGCCCGCUGUUGGUCUGAAUAGGUCAGCGGCCAAGCGAAAGCAUUAAGCAUCCCACCUGGGGAGUACGCCGGCAACGGUGAAACUCAAAGGAAUUGACGGAAGG